Molecule: ribosomal RNA, 378 nt
Filed under: uncultured archaeon
Lineage: Archaea
Description: bacterial SSU rRNA
Rfam family: Archaeal small subunit ribosomal RNA
Source: RNAcentral
AAACUUUGCAAUGCGGGAAACCGUGACAAGGGAACUCCGAGUGCCCGUAAAUUCGGGCUGUUAAUCUGUGUAAAUAACAGGUUGAGAAAGGGCCGGGCAAGACCGGUGCCAGCCGCCGCGGUAAUACCGGCGGCUCGAGUGGUGGCCACUAUUACUGGGCUUAAAGCGUCCGUAGCUGGGUUGUUAAGUCUCUAGGGAAAUCCACCGGCUCAACCGAUGGGCGUCUUAGGGAUACUGGCAGCCUAGGGACCGGGAGAGGUGAGAGGUACUCCAGGGGUAGGAGUGAAAUCCUGUAAUCCUUGGGGGACCACCUGUGGCGAAGGCGUCUCACCAGAACGGCUCCGACAGUGAGGGACGAAAGCUGGGGGAGCAAACCGG